AGGCUGAGAUGAGGUAAAAUAAAAUAGCAGAAAUACAUGGGAUCCCUCGUGAAGGCCGCCAACGAGUGGAGAGACCUCUUACCUGCUCCAACGACUAUUUACAGGCUAAUGCUCAAUCUCCUCUUUCACUGCCGCAAGGUAUCCCGAGUAUUACUGCAAUAGCGCUAGGGCGCUUUGAUGAUCUUUCUACCGUAUUUUAGGUGUCGAUGCUACGACGUCAAUGAACGCAUAUUUUUUUUACUGAUGGCACGAUUUUUGCGUUUUUCUACGUGUAGUUUAUUCUGCUUUGAUGUUGCUCCGUAUAUUUUUCAAUUGACGGAGACUGCUGGCAAAUAUUGAGGCAGGUCUUGACUUUAGGAAUGUUGACCAUUCCAUCUCGGUAAAAAUAUUUGAUUAAAUUAUUUACCGGGUAAUCUAUACAUUACAAAUCGAUAAAUAGAAUGAGAAUGAGAUGAAUUUAACAUGAAACCGAAACCGCCAUGGCGGCAGUGCCAACAUUUCUCGAAAUAAAGUGAGGGAAAGGGGCGCGUUUUAAGUGCUCGAAAAUAUCUUCAACAAGACCCACGGAAAUUAGAGAGUUAAAGCAGAUUUUUUAAUGAACGUAUGUCAAAAAUAUCGUUUAAUUAACAAUCAAUUGGUGACUUUCAGCCGAAAAAGUAGAUUUCUCUAAGCGGAUGGAGUAACGACCUGAGGUCGGUAGCCGGCAACCCUGAUCAAUUCCUUCAUUCGGCAACUAAUAAAAAGUUAAAUAGAGAUCUGAUAGAAGUUUCUUCUAAAUUAACUCGACGUCUGUUCAAAUCUGACGGAUCAAUGCCUUAAGAAUACUCGUGUCUUCUUCAUGAAAAAUGAAGACUUCAGUUAAAACGAAUUUGGGGGGCGUCAGGAUGGUGAACGCGGUGAUGAAGACACUGGUGCCACGUACACUCGGUAUAGGGGCUUAUGGAGAAGGAGGAUAACUGAAACUCGGGUGGGCCGCUUCCGCUCGCCGGAUUUACUUGCCUUUCGUUCUGUACUUCCUACGCGAUGAAACUUUGACAAACAUUUCCGGACCUCAGCUGCUCCUAACUUCUAAAGCAUGGAGGCAACGCCAAAAAAAAAAACAUAAGUCGACAAUUUCUUUUAAUAAUCGUCUCCUUUUAUCUCAUCGAGAUGUGAAAUCCGAAUUUUAUUUCGUUCAGAAUUCUCGUUUCAUUGAGUUCUCUAUACAAUUUCUUAUUUUAUCCCUCCUAUUCCGAUGGAAUCGGUAAAUAUUUUUAUUAUUAACUUUUUAUUAACUGAAUAAUUAUUUGUUUCCAAUUGAGAAGACAUUGUACUCUCGCAGAAAACUGAGGUCUUAAUAAGAUUUGAAUUAUAAAGAACUAUUUAGUGAUUCUGCGUUAAGAAGGAUUACUAAUCCUUGAAGGAUUAAUAAAUAAUUAAUAACAUAUAAUAGUUAAUAAAAGGAUUAUCGUUCUCAGCGUAAUUCAGGUUUUACAACAAAAUUCGACGGACCUGAUUGGAAAUCGCUUGAUAUUCACCUGGAGCGUGAUCAUAGCUUAAUCCAGUCGAUCUACAUACGUGACAUUACCGAUAACAAUAAACUCACAACCUUGGUGAUAAGAAAAAACGAGGAAAUGUUAGCGAGAAGAGCGAACAGCCUGACUGAAGCCAGAAACAGGCGGUUACCGAUAAAUUAAAUAACGCCCCUCAGAGAUUGUAUUUAAUGGAUUAGCGGCACAAUGUCAUUUAAUUCAACAGACAGAACUUAUGACAUUAUUACAAUCGAAAUGAAAUAAUUCUGCAUCAAAAUGGCGAAGCGGAAAUAAUUUUACAUAUUAAAUAAGAUGACCGUCAAAGCGAUGAUCAGAAAUCAUUGAAGGCACUGGUUGUACGUAAAAAGUACCCUGGACCAUAUCCGCAGUGGCAAUUUACAUUCUUCUCCAUCCAGUUCUCGUGAUUUUUAUUUUCUGUUUGCUUACCCCGCGAACCGAGGAGGGUGUUGAUCGCUAUCAAUUGUACCGACAACAUUCACUAACACACCCCGAUGGUAUAAUGUAUGCGUCCGCAUCAGUUUAAUACACGGAUCAUUGCGUUACAUGUACGUAGUCAUCAGCGAAGAUAGAGCUAGAAGUAGGAAGACCGUAAAGUCCUCUGUAAAGUGCAAUAGGAAGGCGAAAAGAGAUGGAGGAUGAAGUGUACACUGCACCUGCUUGCCUCGAGGCAACUCUUGCAUUCAGCUUAUUCUUGUUACGUACCUUCUCCUAGUUCAUCCAAUACGUGUAUUAAGAAGACGAACUGAUCUGGUUCUGAGGAAUAUCCUGGCAAGCUAAGUCGUCACAUCCUGGAUAAAUCCCAGCGAGAAUUUUUCGACUUGAGGAAGGUGUAACGGUUGAUACAUGUGAAUUGCUUAUAUUUUGGAUUAUUAUGAUCAGGCUAGUCCAGAGUAAUAGGAACGAGAUGAAGAAUCUAUUUAUUGACUAUCCAUAUUUACAAGUGAUAGUUUAACCGGAGUGUUCAAAAUAAAACGAUCGAACGUGAAUUCAUGGAUUAAUUCUCUGACGGACAUUAUUAAAAGUUAAAGACAAGUUAAAAAUUGUUUAGCUUCACUCAAUCAAUUGCCGAAAAUGUUAUUAUUUUUGUCAUUCCUAGAUCAUUAUUAUUUGAAAAAAAAUAAUAAAGACUUGGCCUUGACAAAAAAUGGAAAUAAUCAGAAAUGUGACUGAUGAUUAUCACUGAUCGGGGGAACAGAGCGUAAAAAUUGAUAAGAUGUUCAGUUAUUCGUUUUACCGUCAUACAUAUCGCUAGCGAUUUAUAGUUUGAAACAUAUAUAAAAAAGAGCUGACAGAACCCAAUUCAUUUUUUAUGAUUUGUUAUAGGAGGGCAAAUAAAAAAUAAAUGAAAAAAUAGGAUUUCCCGUAAUGUCCGAUAUUUUUCGAUUGAUUUGUUUGGAAAAUGUAACGGAAGUAAAAAUAAUUGUCGGAGAUAAAAACUGAGGCUCUAAUUAUGAAAUCCUCACUUCAAUCUGGAGGAAAGCAUUACGCGUCAAGCCUAACGAUUCAUCACUGACGAACCGUUUGCUUGAGAACACGGUAAGAGAAUAAAAACAGUUCUAUCAAAAGUUUCGACGAGUCUUGAGAGAAACUCAAGGAAUUGAGCGUGAGAGAGUCAGAGUUCGAUAAAAAAAAGAACUGAGAUAAUAAAGAAAGGAGCUAGAGUGAAGGAAACGCAGAGGAUAAACGAGGAAAGCGAAAUGAAACAAAUAUAAAGCUGGUUAGAGGUUCGAAAGAAUAAAGGGGAAAAAAAAUAAAAUAAAGAAGUAGGAUGGAAAGAUACAAUCAGGUAUCAAAGUUGAACGUGUGCACAGGGCAUAAGAUACACUCGUUGGAGAGAUACGUCAUUGUGAAGAGAUCUUCCCACCGUACAGGUUUUCAGUUUGCUGGAUGAGCAUUGGGCUUCUUCGAUAUUUUCUGCAAUUGCAAUUCACUGAAGAAAGAGUGGAGCUAAUGGUGAUGAUGAAUGAAAGUGGGGAUUUCAGUACUAAAAACGCAGAUAUAUAAAUAUUUUGAAAAUAAGAAACUCAAGACUAGAAAAUGGAAAUUCCAUCCGAUUUUAUAUUAUUUUCAUUACCUAUUUCAAUUAAUCUAUUAUUUUUUAAAAUAAUUAUUAAUGUGAAAUUCGAUAUCCAGAGUGCUUCAGCCCUUGGAGGUUUUGUUUUUCAUCGAAACUAAUUGCAUUAUCUCAUUGAUUAAAACAGUAAUAAAGUUGUUACCGGAUGAUUAACAACGAAUAAUUAACAAAUAAAUAACAAUGAAUAUAAUUGUUAGAAUACUGUUAAGACUGGUCCGCAUAAUUUGACCUUCUCAUCGUCUCCAAUUUCGCACAUUAAA
Long non-coding RNA from Fopius arisanus, 3866 nucleotides. RefSeq lists it as uncharacterized. The transcript is spliced from 3 exons. The record is from RefSeq and is a predicted model, not a curated record. NCBI's taxonomy places the organism in Eukaryota, Metazoa, Arthropoda, Insecta, Hymenoptera, Braconidae.